This 464-nucleotide ribosomal RNA is filed under the name uncultured bacterium. RNAcentral describes it as "bacterial SSU rRNA". It matches the Rfam family "Bacterial small subunit ribosomal RNA", at positions 355 to 811 of the family's 1533-position model. The record is from RNAcentral.
UGGGGAAUAUUGGACAAUGGGCGCAAGCCUGAUCCAGCCAUACCGCGUGGGUGAAGAAGGCCUUCGGGUUGUAAAGCCCUUUUGUUGGGAAAGAAAUCCAGCCGGCUAAUACCUGGUUGGGAUGACGGUACCCAAAGAAUAAGCACCGGCUAACUUCGUGCCAGCAGCCGCGGUAAUACGAAGGGUGCAAGCGUUACUCGGAAUUACUGGGCGUAAAGCGUGCGUAGGUGGUCGUUUAAGUCCGUUGUGAAAGCCCUGGGCUCAACCUGGGAACUGCAGUGGAUACUGGGCGACUAGAGUGUGGUAGAGGGUAGCGGAAUUCCUGGUGUAGCAGUGAAAUGCGUAGAGAUCAGGAGGAACAUCCAUGGCGAAGGCAGCUACCUGGACCAACACUGACACUGAGGCACGAAAGCGUGGGGAGCAAACAGGAUUAGAUACCCUGGUAGUCCACGCCCUAAACGAUG